UGGAUACUAGUUAAUCUCGUAGUAGUUUAUACUAUAGUUUCCCCGGAUCAUGACUUAAACAAGAAAACAAAAGAAAAAUACAAAUAUUACAAAACGGAAGUCAUUCUACUAGGAUUACAGAGCACCCAACAUAAGAAUACAUAGUAUCAGUAAUAGAAAAACUGAUGUAUACAUGGUAAAAUCAGUAAGGAGUGUAGUAGUACCCUCCUGCAGGGGGUACUCCAACGCCAUUUACUGGUGGCAUGCCAUAAGGCAUCCCAACUGCUUGGUAUCCGCCACUGCUGAUCUUGGACAAACUCGUCUGUCCUUGCAUCCCAUUUCUAGCAUAUUGCUGCCAUAGAAUUUGCUCCUGCACAAGUAAUUGUUGUUUCUUCUCCAAAUCCGCCAUUUGUACAUAAGCAGGAGGUGGAACACUCAAAGAUGCAGCAAAUGGAUCCUGUCCAACGGUCUGGACUGUUCCAUCGGGUGCAGGGAGUGCUAAAACCGGUGUUGAACUCUUCCCUGGUCCAGGUAAUGCUACACUGCUCGCACUACCACCACUUGACUGAGCAGUGGCAACAUGUUGCCUAACCAUCCCUUGAUCAUACAUGCCAUUCAACAGCAGUGGAUCAAGUCCACCACCCAUUGUUGCCUUCUGCUGAGACAGAUGACUAGCUGUCUCAACCAAAGCCAACUCCCAAUCAGCCUUACCACUCUCAGCCGCUGGAUUCUGCCAAGCAGAGGUUACCUCAGGUCCCCCAUUGGAGGAGAAUGCUUCCCAUGAUCCAUUGUUUGUUACAGGCCCUGCAAACAAUGCCAACGCAAAUUUAUUUCCUUGAUCAUCGGCAGUAACACCCUCUUCCCUUAAAUCCACCAAAUCCCCAGUCUCCUGAACCACUGCCGCUGGCUUAGGAGACUCUGGUUUAGGUGGGGGUGGAGGAGUAUAAUCCUCUGGUGGAGGCAAGGCUUUAAUCUCAUUCAUAUCGGGUGGUGAUUCUUCUGAUGGAGUUGGCAGAGGCUCAACUUUCCUCUCGGGACUUUUUGUUGCCUU
RNAcentral lists this unclassified non-coding RNA (1030 nucleotides) under Hevea brasiliensis (rubber tree). Lineage: Eukaryota; Viridiplantae; Streptophyta; Magnoliopsida; Malpighiales; Euphorbiaceae. The record is from RNAcentral.